CNNNUNNCGGNNGCUACACAUGCAGUCGAACGGAUUAAAAGAGCUUGCUUUUUUGAUUAGUGGCGCACGGGUGAGUAAUAUAUAGCUAACCUGCCCUUUAGUGGGGGACAACAGUUGGAAACGACUGCUAAUACCCUAUACUCCUUCUUACUAUAAGGUAAGUCGGGAAAGAUUUAUCGCUAAAGGAUGGGGCUUUAUUGUAUCAGCUAGUUGGUGAGGUAAUGGCUCACCAAGGCUAUGACGCAUACCUGGUCUGAGAGGAUGAUCAGGCACACUGGAACUGAGACACGGUCCAGACUCCUACGGGAGGCAGCAGUGGGGAAUAUUGCACAAUGGACGCAAGUCUGAUGCAGCAACGCCGCGUGGAGGAUGACGCAUUUCGGUGUGUAAACUCCUUUUAUAGGGGAAGAUAAUGACGGUACCCUAUGAAUAAGCACCGGCUAACUCCGUGCCAGCAGCCGCGGUAAUACGGAGGGUGCAAGCGUUACUCGGAAUCACUGGGCGUAAAGGAUGCGUAGGCUGGAAAUCAAGUCGAAAGUGAAAUCCAACGGCUCAACCGUUGAACUGCUUUCGAAACUGGUUACCUAGAAUAUGGGAGAGGUAGAUGGAAUUAGUGGUGUAGGGGGUAAAAUCCGUAGAUAUCACUAGGAAUACCGAUUGCGAAGGCGAUCUACUGGAACAUUAUUGACGCUGAGGCAUGAAAGCGUGGGGAGCAAACAGGAUUAGAUACCCUGGUAGUCCACGCCCUAAACGAUGCACACUAGUUGUUGCCCUGCUAGUCAGGCAGUAAUGCACUUAACAGAUUAAGUGUGCCGCCUGGGGAGUACGGUCGCAAGAUUAAAACUCAAAGGAAUAGACGGGGACCCGCACAAGCGGUGGAGCAUGUGGUUUAAUUCGAAGAUACACGAAGAACCUUACCUGGCCUUGAUAUCCUAGAUCCUGUAGAGAUA
RNAcentral lists this ribosomal RNA (950 nucleotides) under uncultured bacterium. RNAcentral's name for it is "bacterial SSU rRNA". It matches the Rfam family "Bacterial small subunit ribosomal RNA", at positions 36 to 1008 of the family's 1533-position model. The record is from RNAcentral.